UAAGAAUAUUCCGCAAUGGACGAAAGUCUGACGGAGCGACGCCGCGUGGAUGAAGAAGGCCGAAAGGUUGUAAAGUUCUUUUGCUAGGGGAGAAUAAGUGAGGGAGGGAAUGCCCUCAUGAUGACAAGGACUAGCGAAUAAGCCCCGGCCAACUACGUGCCAGCAGCCGCGGUAACACGUAGGGGGCGAGCGUUGUUCGGAAUUACUGGGCGUAAAGGGCAUGUAGGCGGCUUGGUAAGCCUGGCGUGAAAGACUGCAGCUUAACUGUAGGGAUGCGUUGGGAACUGCUUAGCUUGAGUUACGGAGAGGGAGCUGGAAUUCCUGGUGUAGGGGUGAAAUCUGUAGAUAUCAGGAAGAACACCGAUGGCGAAGGCAAGCUUCUGGUCGAUAACUGACGCUGAGGUGCGAAAGUGUGGGGAUCAAAC
Molecule: ribosomal RNA, 425 nt
Filed under: uncultured bacterium
Lineage: Bacteria
Description: bacterial SSU rRNA
Rfam family: Bacterial small subunit ribosomal RNA
Source: RNAcentral